GUGCUCGCUUCGGCAGCACAUAUACUAAAAUUGGAACGAUACAGAGAAGAUUAGCGUGGCCCCAGCACAAGAUGACACACAAAUUCGUGAAGCGUUCCAUGUUUUU
Molecule: small nuclear RNA, 106 nt
Organism: Dipodomys ordii (Ord's kangaroo rat)
Lineage: Eukaryota; Metazoa; Chordata; Mammalia; Rodentia; Heteromyidae
Source: Ensembl